Sapajus apella (tufted capuchin) is the source of this 635-nucleotide long non-coding RNA. RefSeq lists it as uncharacterized. The transcript is spliced from 3 exons. Lineage: Eukaryota; Metazoa; Chordata; Mammalia; Primates; Cebidae. The record is from RefSeq and is a predicted model, not a curated record.
GACUUUUUCUUUUUUUCCACUUUCUUUUUUCUUUACAUAGCAUAAGAGACAGGUCAGACAUGCAUUACAAGCCCGAAGAUCUACUUUGUCUUGCUGCCCUUGAAACUGACAUUCAAGUGCCUGAAAAUGCUCAUGUACUCCACAUUUUCUCUUGAACAAUCCUUCACAGAAAACUUUAACCUACUACAACAGGAAUAGUCCUUCUUAUCCAUGAGAGGAUGAUUAGUUCUCAAGGAAAGGAGUUAAAAAUUAUCUUCAGUAAAUAACAAGUAGAGGCACAGACAACAUCAGUGUCCAAGAACUUAAGAACACCUAAUUUACCGAUAUAGAGCUCACCAAUGUCACCCCUGAUCAAAGGACCCACUGGCAACAGUAGAUGCAAUGUAUGCAUGACCACAAGACCUAAUAAUUCCACCAUAUCCCACAUCACUUGGAAGCAGCUGACCUGAAGAAUUACAGGAGGUGAUUUAAUAUGUGAAGCUAUCUACCAGGGCAGGGUGAUAAAACUGAUACAUAUAAUUUGUAUAAUUUGCGUUGGAGAUCAAUGCCUUCUGGAACUUUACUUUCCUAUGUUUCUCAAUUGUAUCUAAUAUUUAUAAUUUUUAAUCCUCUAAAACCAUAUUUUCUGUAAGAUU